RNAcentral lists this ribosomal RNA (1430 nucleotides) under metagenome. RNAcentral describes it as "bacterial SSU rRNA". It matches the Rfam family "Archaeal small subunit ribosomal RNA". The record is from RNAcentral.
ACCCGUUGAUCCUGCGGGAGGUUGCUGCUAUCGGGAUUCGACUAAGCCAUGCAAGUCUAGGGGGCCUUCGGGUCACCGGCAGAAGGCUCAGUAACACGUCGAUAAUCUGCCCUAUGGUCUGGCAUAACCUUGGAAAACUGAGGCUAACACCGGAUAGGGGAUUAUAUCUGGAAUGAUUUAUCCUUUAAAAGCAAUGCCAUAGGAUGAGUCGGCGGCUGAUUAGGUUGUUGGCGGGGUAAUGGCCCACCAAGCCUGAGAUCAGUAGGGGCCCUGAGAGGGGUAGCCCCGAGAAGAGCACUGAGAUACUGGCUCUAGCCCUACGGGGUGCAGCAGGCGCGAAACCUUUACAAUGCACGAAAGUGUGAUAAGGGAAUCCCGAGUGCCUACACUCUGUGUAGGCUUUUGCUAAGAGUAAAUACCUUAGCGAAUAAGUGGUGGGUAAGACUGGUGCCAGCCGCCGCGGCAACACCAGCGCCACGAGUGGCAACCAUUUUUACUGGGCCUAAAGCGUCCGUAGCCGGUCCAGUCAGUCUUUUGUGAAAUCAUUGGGCUUAACCCAAUGGCGUGCAGGAGAUACUGCUGGGCUUGGAACCGGGAGGAGUCGGAGGUAUUCUUGGGGGAACGGUAAAAUGUUAUAAUCCCAAGAGGACCACCUGUGGCGAAGGCGUCCGACUAGAACGGAUUCGACGGUGAGGGACGAAAGCCAGGGGAGCAAAACGGAUUAGAUACCCGAGUAGUCCUGGCUGUAAACUCUGCGAGCUAGGUGUUGCAUAUUCUUCGGAGUAUGCAGUGUCGGAGCGAAGGUGUUAAGCUCGCCGCCUGGGAAGUAUAGUCGCAAGACCGAAACUUAAAGGAAUUGGCGGGGGAGCACUACAAGGGGUGCGGCGUGCGGUUUAAUCUAACUUAACGCAGAAAAUCUCACCAGAGGCGACGGCAGGAUGAAAGUCAUGCUGAAGACAUUACUUGACGAGCCGAGAGGUAGUGCAUGGCCGUCGUCAGCUCGUGCUGUAAGGUGUCCUGUUAAGUCAGGCAACGAGCGAGACCUGUAUCCACAAUUGCUAACGAACUCUGGGAUCGAGCACAUUGUGGGGACUGCCCUCGAAAGGGGGAGGAAGGUGCAGGCAACGAUAGGUCUGUAUGCUCCGAAUCCUCUGGGCUACACGCGCGCAACAAUGGUAGGGACAAUGGGAUGCAACACCGAAAGGUGAAGCUAAACCUCGAAACCCUAUCCAAGUCCAGAUUGAGGAUUGUAACCCAUCCUCAUGACGAUGGAAUCCCUAGUAAUUGGAUCUCAUCACGAUCCAGUGAAUAUGUCCCUGCUCCUUGCACACACCGCCCGUCAAACCAACCGAGCAGGGUUUAGAUGAGGCUCAAUUUCUUGAUUAAGUCGAAUCUAAGCUCAGUGAGGUGGGUUAAGUCGUCACAAGGUA